AUUGAACGCUGGCGGCAGGCCUAACACAUGCAAGUCGAGCGGAGCGGCGGACGGGUGAGUAAUUCCUAGGAAUCUGCCUGGCAGUGGGGGAUAACGUCCGGAAACGGGCGCUAAUACCGCAUACUAUUAGAUGAGCCUAGGUCGGAGUCGCUAGUUGGUGGGGUAAAGGCCUACCAAGGCGACGAACCGUAACUGGUCUGAGAGGAUGAUCAGUCAAACGGGAACGGGGAAACGUUCCAGACUCCCACGGUAGGCAGCAGUGGGGAAUAUUGGCAAAUGGGCGAAAGCCUAAUCCAGCCAUGCCGCGUGUGUGAGGAAGGUCUUCGGAUUGUAAAGCACGUUAAGUUGGGAGGCGUUACCAACAGAAUAAGCAACGGCUAACUUCGUGCCAGCAGCCGCGGUAAUUC
This 407-nucleotide ribosomal RNA is filed under the name uncultured bacterium. Its description in RNAcentral is "partial 16S ribosomal RNA". It matches the Rfam family "Bacterial small subunit ribosomal RNA", at positions 30 to 526 of the family's 1533-position model. The record is from RNAcentral.